GCUGUGGUGGUCCAGUGGUAGAGCUCUCGCCUUCCAUGUGGGAGACCUGGGUUUGAUUUCUGGCCAAGGCA
This 71-nucleotide transfer RNA is filed under the name Loxodonta africana (African savanna elephant). It matches the Rfam family "tRNA". Rfam says of the family: Transfer RNA (tRNA) molecules are approximately 80 nucleotides in length. Their secondary structure includes four short double-helical elements and three loops (D, anti-codon, and T loops). The record is from Rfam by way of RNAcentral. Lineage: Eukaryota; Metazoa; Chordata; Mammalia; Proboscidea; Elephantidae.